Non-coding RNA from Podospora aff. communis PSN243, 82 nucleotides. The record is from the annotation of a GenBank genome assembly. Lineage: Eukaryota; Fungi; Ascomycota; Sordariomycetes; Sordariales; Podosporaceae.
GGUUGUGUAGUGUAGCGGUUAUCACUCCGGAUUCUGACCUUUCAAUAUUCCGGCAACCCCGGUUCGAUUCCGGGCACGACCU